RNAcentral lists this ribosomal RNA (253 nucleotides) under uncultured bacterium. Its description in RNAcentral is "partial 16S ribosomal RNA". It matches the Rfam family "Bacterial small subunit ribosomal RNA", at positions 524 to 776 of the family's 1533-position model. The record is from RNAcentral.
UACGUAGGGGGCGAGCGUUGUCCGGAAUUAUUGGGCGGAAAGAGCUCGUAGGCGGUUUGUCGCGUCGACUGUGAAAACCUACAGCUUAACUGUGGGCUUGCAGUCGAUACGGGCAGACUUGAGUUCGGUAGGGGAGACUGGAAUUCCUGGUGUAGCGGUGAAAUGCGCAGAUAUCAGGAGGAACACCGGUGGCGAAGGCGGGUCUCUGGGCCGAUACUGACGCUGAGGAGCGAAAGCGUGGGGAGCGAACAGG